GCCUAACACAUGCAAGUCGAGCGGUAGCACAGAGAGCUUGCUCUCGGGUGACGAGCGGCGGACGGGUGAGUAAUGUCUGGGAAACUGCCUGAUGGAGGGGGAUAACUACUGGAAACGGUAGCUAAUACCGCAUAACGUCGCAAGACCAAAGUGGGGGACCUUCGGGCCUCAUGCCAUCAGAUGUGCCCAGAUGGGAUUAGCUAGUAGGUGGGGUAAUGGCUCACCUAGGCGACGAUCCCUAGCUGGUCUGAGAGGAUGACCAGCCACACUGGAACUGAGACACGGUCCAGACUCCUACGGGAGGCAGCAGUGGGGAAUAUUGCACAAUGGGCGCAAGCCUGAUGCAGCCAUGCCGCGUGUGUGAAGAAGGCCUUCGGGUUGUAAAGCACUUUCAGCGGGGAGGAAGGCGAUAAGGUUAAUAACCUUGUCGAUUGACGUUACCCGCAGAAGAAGCACCGGCUAACUCCGUGCCAGCAGCCGCGGUAAUACGGAGGGUGCAAGCGUUAAUCGGAAUUACUGGGCGUAAAGCGCACGCAGGCGGUCUGUCAAGUCGGAUGUGAAAUCCCCGGGCUUAACCUGGGAACUGCAUUCGAAACUGGCAGGCUAGAGUCUUGUAGAGGGGGGUAGAAUUCCAGGUGUAGCGGUGAAAUGCGUAGAGAUCUGGAGGAAUACCGGUGGCGAAGGCGGCCCCCUGGACAAAGACUGACGCUCAGGUGCGAAAGCGUGGGGAGCAAACAGGAUUGGAUACCCUGGUAGUCCACGCCGUAAACGAUGUCGAUUUGGAGGUUGUGCCCUUGAGGCGUGGCUUCCGGAGCUAACGCGUUAAAUCGACCGCCUGGGGAGUACGGCCGCAAGGUUAAAACUCAAAUGAAUUGACGGGGGCCCGCACAAGCGGUGGAGCAUGUGGUUUAAUUCGAUGCAACGCGAAGAACCUUACCUGGUCUUGACAUCCACAGAACUUUCCAGAGAUGGAUUGGUGCCUUCGGGAACUGUGAGACAGGUGCUGCAUGGCUGUCGUCAGCUCGUGUUGUGAAAUGUUGGGUUAAGUCCCGCAACGAGCGCAACCCUUAUCCUUUGUUGCCAGCGGUCCGGCCGGGAACUCAAAGGAGACUGCCAGUGAUAAACUGGAGGAAGGUGGGGAUGACGUCAAGUCAUCAUGGCCCUUACGACCAGGGCUACACACGUGCUACAAUGGCAUAUACAAAGAGAAGCGACCUCGCGAGAGCAAGCGGACCUCAUAAAGUAUGUCGUAGUCCGGAUUGGAGUCUGCAACUCGACUCCAUGAAGUCGGAAUCGCUAGUAAUCGUAGAUCAGAAUGCUACGGUGAAUACGUUCCCGGGCCUUGUACACACCGCCCGUCACACCAUGGGAGUGGGUUGCAAAAGAAGUAGGUAGCUUAACCUUCGGGAGGGCGCUUACCACUUUGUGAUUCAUGACUGGGGUGAA
Molecule: ribosomal RNA, 1446 nt
Filed under: uncultured organism
Description: 16S ribosomal RNA
Rfam family: Bacterial small subunit ribosomal RNA
Source: RNAcentral